This 650-nucleotide ribosomal RNA is filed under the name uncultured bacterium. Its description in RNAcentral is "bacterial SSU rRNA". It matches the Rfam family "Bacterial small subunit ribosomal RNA", at positions 93 to 776 of the family's 1533-position model. The record is from RNAcentral.
CAGUGGCGGACGGGUGAGUAACGCGUAGGAAUGUGUCCUGAGAUGGGGGACAACGCCGGGAAACUGGCGCUAAUACCGCAUAUGACCUGAGGGUCAAAGCCGCGAGGCGUCUUGGGAGCAGCCUGCGUCCGAUUAGGUAGUUGGUGGGGUAAAGGCCUACCAAGCCAUCGAUCGGUAGCUGGUCUGAGAGGAUGAUCAGCCACACUGGAACUGAGACACGGUCCAAACUCCUACGGGAGGCAGCAGUGGGGAAUAUUGGACAAUGGGCGGAAGCCUGAUCCAGCAAUUCCGCGUGGGUGAAGAAGGUCUUCGGAUUGUAAAGCCCUUUCGGCAGGGACGAUGAUGACGGUACCUGCAGAAGAAGCCCCGGCUAACUUCGUGCCAGCAGCCGCGGUAAUACGAAGGGGUCUAGCGUUGCUCGGAAUGACUGGCCGUAAAGGGCGCGUAGGCGGCACACACAGUCAGGCGUGAAAUUCCUGGGCUUAACCUGGGGGCUGCGUUUGAUACAUGUGAGCUAGAGGAUGGAAGAGGCUCGUGGAAUUCCCAGUGUAGAGGUGAAAUUCGUAGAUAUUGGGAAGAACACCGGUGGCGAAGGCGGCGAGCUGGUCCAUUACUGACGCUGAGGCGCGAAAGCGUGGGGAGCAAACAGG